UGGGGAAUCUUGGACAAUGGGGGCAACCCUGAUCCAGCCAUGCCGCGUGAGUGAUGAAGGCCUUAGGGUCGUAAAGCUCUUUCGCCUGUGAAGAUAAUGACGGUAGCAGGUAAAGAAACCCCGGCUAACUCCGUGCCAGCAGCCGCGGUAAUACGGAGGGGGUUAGCGUUGUUCGGAAUUACUGGGCGUAAAGCGCACGUAGGCGGAUCGGAAAGUUGGGGGUGAAAUCCCGGGGCUCAACCCCGGAACUGCCUCCAAAACUAUCGGUCUAGAGUUCGAGAGAGGUGAGUGGAAUUCCGAGUGUAGAGGUGAAAUUCGUAGAUAUUCGGAGGAACACCAGUGGCGAAGGCGGCUCACUGGCUCGAUACUGACGCUGAGGUGCGAAAGUGUGGGGAGCAAACAGGAUUAGAUACCCCCGUAGUCC
This 424-nucleotide ribosomal RNA is filed under the name uncultured prokaryote. Its description in RNAcentral is "bacterial SSU rRNA". It matches the Rfam family "Bacterial small subunit ribosomal RNA", at positions 355 to 796 of the family's 1533-position model. The record is from RNAcentral.